Molecule: ribosomal RNA, 773 nt
Filed under: uncultured Neocallimastigales
Lineage: Eukaryota; Fungi; Neocallimastigomycota; Neocallimastigomycetes; Neocallimastigales
Description: partial large subunit ribosomal RNA
Rfam family: Eukaryotic large subunit ribosomal RNA
Source: RNAcentral
UCAGACGAUGCGUCAUGCAUAUCAAUAAGCGGAGGAAAAGAAACUAACAAGGAUUCCCUCAGUAACGGCGAGUGAAGCGGGAAGAGCUCAAAUUUGAAAUCUUGAAAGGUCUACCUUGCACGAAUUGUAGUUUAAAGAAGUGUUUUCUGUUGAAGUUUUGGUAAAAGUUCUUUGGAAUAGGACAUCAUAGAGGGUGAGAAUCCCGUAUUUGACCAUUAUUUUCAGCUGUGUGAUACACUUUCAAAGAGUCGGAUUGUUUGGGAAUGCAGCCCAAAACGGGAGGUAAAUUUCUUCUAAGGCUAAAUAUUGGCGAGAGACCGAUAGCGAACAAGUACCGUGAGGGAAAGAUGAAAAGAACUUUGAAAAGAGAGUUAAAUAGUACGUGAAAUUGUCAAAAGGGAAGCGUUUAACACCAGUGUUGUUUUCUGAAAAUCAACCUCUGUUAGCUUUAUGCAUGUUUGUUUAGACCUAAUCAGCUAUCUUGCAUGUUCUAUUGUUUGCAGUGGUGCACUUUUCAGUUUACAGGUCAACAUCAGUUUUUUUUACCGUAAAAAAGUUAAAGAAAGGUAGCUCAUGGCUCCGGUCGUGAGUGUUAUAGUCUUUUUCCUAUGCGGUAGGAGAGACUGAGGUCUGCAGUGUAGGCUAUUUGGCUAGAUACUCAGGAUGCUAUGUGAUACCAUUUCAUAAACAACUUGUUGAUUAUGUUUUGUCUAUUGCAUACUCGCUUGUACUAUCAUACCUACGCUUAGGAUGUUGAUCUGUAGUGCGUGCGC